Molecule: non-coding RNA, 311 nt
Organism: Penaeus vannamei (Pacific white shrimp)
Lineage: Eukaryota; Metazoa; Arthropoda; Malacostraca; Decapoda; Penaeidae
Source: RefSeq, a predicted model, not a curated record
ACUGCGUUGUCUCCUCCAUCGAAACGUUAGGAGAAAUUUGAAAUGUAGUUGAGAUUUGAUUAUAUGCAUUUUAUAUGGUCACAGGAGCAGAUUCAACGCCGAGAGGAUGGAUUACGCCCCAGACAGUGUCCUGAGCACGACACUUAGGUUUAUCACUGAUCAUGUAUCAGUCUUCCCUAAUGAUGCUGCAUUACUACCAUCACCAAGUGAAAAUUGUUCCCUAGUAGCAGUUGCCCCAAAAUAUGGAAUUGUCUUUGCUGCUCUUGGGACGACUUUCAAAGCACUCUUGGCUGAUGGUGAGACGAAAGAUG